AUAACGACUCUCGGCAACGGAUAUCUCGGCUCUCGCAUCGAUGAAGAACGUAGCGUAAUGCGAUACUUGGUGUGAAUUGCAGAAUCCCGUGAACCAUCGAGUCUUUGAACGCAAGUUGCGCCCUAAGCCAUUUGGCCGASGGCACGUCUGCCUGGGCGUCAAUC
This 164-nucleotide ribosomal RNA is filed under the name Epilobium pallidum. RNAcentral describes it as "partial 5.8S ribosomal RNA". It matches the Rfam family "5.8S ribosomal RNA". Rfam says of the family: 5.8S ribosomal RNA (5.8S rRNA) is a component of the large subunit of the eukaryotic ribosome. It is transcribed by RNA polymerase I as part of the 45S precursor that also contains 18S and 28S rRNA. Lineage: Eukaryota; Viridiplantae; Streptophyta; Magnoliopsida; Myrtales; Onagraceae. The record is from RNAcentral.